Molecule: long non-coding RNA, 2475 nt
Organism: Homo sapiens (human)
Lineage: Eukaryota; Metazoa; Chordata; Mammalia; Primates; Hominidae
Gene: WEE2-AS1
Product: WEE2 antisense RNA 1
Source: Ensembl
GGAUUGCGUCAUUAGGCGAUUUUGUUGCUGUACGAACACCACAGAAUGUACUUUGACGACCUAGAUGGUGGAGCCUGGACACACCUCGGCUCUGUGGUGUGGCCUGCUGCUUCCAGGCUGCAAACCUGACAGCAUGGGGCUGUACUGAAUACCGCAGACCAUUGUAAUUCAUGGGGAAAGCGCGAAUGCAGUCCCCCACUACAACAAAUUAUGCAGUCGAGUUUUCCACAUUUGGGAAUAUCACAGGGGUCAGCACAUCCGGAGUGCAAUCGAUGAGCCCCACGCUGGGAAAAACCACCUUCGUGAUCAUGGUAUCUUCCCUGCCAGCAACCUAAUCACAGAGCCUCCCAGCCCGAUGCUACAAAGAGCCGCAUGCUGCCAGUUUCCUUGUGGGCAGGGACCUAUGUAUUAUAAUGGUGAAUAUAUUUAUACUUGAAUCCACAGAGAAGACACAGUAGACUAGUCAUACCAUUGGAAGGCCGGAGAACUGUAUUUCUGGCCAGAGCUGCUGCAGAAGGUCUCUGUUCGGCAUCAGGUUGGAUCAUGUUCUGAUGAUAUAGGACCAAGAGGAAAGAAACAGAAGCUUCACUAUUGGGAAAAAUCUUCCCAUUCAAGCCAACUCCAACCCAGCUUCUCCUGGUGGAUUUUUUGCCAUCGCACUAAAAAAAUAGAUAUUGCAUCUUCUGUUCAUCUCGUAAGAGCUAUCACCUUGAGCAGACUGGAAAAGCUUUCUGAGAGCUCCUGAGGAACGUCCGGAAAGUUACCCUUGCGGAUAUGGUGCCAUGCAGCACCAUUGGUGGGCAAUGACUCUGCUCCUGCAGCCACUGCAAUUGUUAAUCCCAAGGCAAAUAUGUCUGCUUUGGGAAGGUGCCGGUAAUCCUUCAAAACAGAAGACAGGAAGGCCAAGAGAAACCAAUCAGCUUCAUUUUCAACUUCUUCUAUGACUCCAGAGGAUUCACUUUGCAUCUUGUGACAAAUGAAUAUAUUACCUGAAAAAAAAAUGACAGGAUAGAUAUUGAAGAAAUAAUUUUUUAUAGGACUCUGGAGUGAAGGGAUUAAUAUUGACCAGAGCCAAUGAGGUCAUCUCAUCCUUGAGGGGAGCAGGUGUGAGCUUCAAAUGCUUAGGGCCUCUGGAAGGAAGCUUCCCUGUUGGAGAAAUCACCAACCGGCUCAGCAUGGGCUGCUUGAAGAAUCCAGGAGGCAGACAAGCCCUCGCUGACAGACUCACAGCUUUCCUGCGUGUUUAUCAUGAAGACUGAGGAUUGGUUCAAAAUAAGUGAAACUAUAAUGAUAUUUCUCAGUUAUCAAUGUGAUUUGCAAAAUGAACCUAGCAUUUUGUAGUAAGUCAUUCUGAGAAUUCGUUUUUUGUAAUGCUGAUUAUCAUAUGGAAAGUAAAACACAUCUAUUACAUAUGAAACAGUGGGUAGCCACACCUGGAAUGCAGCACAUAGUUCUAGUUGUCACAUCUCAAAGAAAGUAUAAGGGGCCUAGAAAAUAUUCAGAUAAAAAUUAUUCAUAUCAGGGAAGACAAUAUUAGAAUUUCUAGUCAGGAAAUAUGAGGGCCAAGAGAAUUUGUGAGCACCACUUAUGAUGUAGGGAAGAAUAUUAUGUUAAUAUAGUCGUUAUUGCUGGAAUAAUAGAAUUAUGAGUAACCCUUUCAAAAUCUCAAAUAACAUAGUUUGAGAUAAGACAUAUGAAAAGAACUUCUGCUUGGAAGCAGAGGAAUUUGAAAAUUUAUUGAAAGAUGACACAGGUUGAGAGUAUAAAUGUGCUCUAGAGAGGGCAAAUAAUUCCAUAAGGAAUAGCUGUAGCACAGAUGAUUGAGGGAGAUAAGGGAAAUUUGGGGGAUAGCUACUUGACUUAUGAAGAUGGUGAGAAGAGAAGGCAACCUCUCACAAAAACACAAACAUAGUAUCUUGGGACAGAGAAGGAUUUUAAAGGCCCAGUCAACAUGAUUAGUCCCUUGAUGCUUGAAUCCUGAUAUUAUUGGGAUGUUUGGAUGUUUUAAAGGCCCAGUCAAUAUGAUGAGUCCCCUGAUGCUUGAAUCCUGGUAUUAUUGGGAUGUUUGGAUGUUUUAAAGGCCCAGUCAAUAUGAUGAGUCCCCUGAUGCUUGAAUCCUGGUAUCAUUUGGAUAUCAUGUUGAAAUAUAAUCCCCAGUGCUGGAGGUAGGGCCUGGUGGGUGGCAUUUGGAUUACAGAGGUAGAUUCCUUGGUGCCAUCCUCAUGGUAAUGAACCAGUUCUCACUUUGUUAGUUCACACCAGAUCUGGUUGUUUAAAAUGAGCCUGACACUUCCUUCCUGUCUUGCUUCCACUGUCUCACUUUUUCUCUCACCAUGUAACAAGCUGCCUUGUUUCUGUCCACCUUCUGCCAUGACUGUCAACUUCCUGAGGCCCUCACCAGAAGCAGAUACAGGCAAUAUGCUUACUGUACAGCCUGCAGAACUGUAAGCCAAAUAAACCUCUUUUCUUUAUAAU